GGGUGUUUGGUCUAGUGGUAUGAUUCUUGUUUCGAGUGCAAGAGGUCGUGAGUUUGAUUUUCACAACACCCC
This is a transfer RNA of Ipomoea nil (Japanese morning glory), 72 nucleotides long. It matches the Rfam family "tRNA". From Rfam's summary of the family: Transfer RNA (tRNA) molecules are approximately 80 nucleotides in length. Their secondary structure includes four short double-helical elements and three loops (D, anti-codon, and T loops). Lineage: Eukaryota; Viridiplantae; Streptophyta; Magnoliopsida; Solanales; Convolvulaceae. The record is from Rfam.